CUCUCUUCCCCGUCCACCGCCCGAAGGCCUCUCCCUUUCUCCUCUCCACCGACCGAAGGCUUCCGUCCCCAACCCCGCUACCGGUACAAGGAGGCAACGGCAGCCGCUACAUUCAAGUUCUAUUUUACUUGGUUCGAAAGCUCUUGCCCCCUGGAAAUUAUUCCGGUCCAGGGGCGUUCCCGGCCGGCCCUCAGGGGUGGGGCCGAAUGCAGAGGCCCUGGGGUAGGGGGCGCGGGGCGCGGCGGCGGGUGGGCAAGCGGGACGCCUGGCCGGUGCAGACGCGCGGGGACGAGAUGGGCGUGCCGGGUGCGAAAGCAGGAGCGGAGGCGGGGGUGCCCAAUUUCUCUCACUUGGUGCCCCCUCCCCUGGCUCCGAAGUAGGGCUGGGGACUCCAGGAGGGCCCUUGCGUUUGGCCUCCACCCCUCUCCCGCAUACCCCACCCUCCAGAGAGCUCUGGGCGCGGACCAGGGUGCACUUGGGGGACAGGUGGAGGCCGGGCCGCCGGGCUUGCGCCUCCACGCCCGCAGUACGGCGUGCGGCCAGAGCGGGUGUGCGGGGACCUCUCGGGACAGGUCAAGCCCCCUCGGGUGGGCUUCCACGCUUACCAACUAGCUCUCUCCCUCACCUGCUCGCACCACGCUUUGCCCUCCAGGCUCCCACCUGGGAACGCCCCGUCCCUUGGUCCUUCCUCUCCUAGCCAGGUGUCAGCUCUGGCCAGGCCCAGGUGCUCUGCUUCCCCUGUUCAGGUCCCCUGCCCCUUCGGCUGGGAGACUUGCAUAUCGGCCUGAAGACCUCCCUGCGGUUUUUCCCAGCUCCUGCAGGGCCCAGACUGCAGCGGCUGGAGGCGAAGGGACGGCAGGGCGCGUGGCGUGGUUAGUGUGCUGGCUCCGACCAGCGGGAACGCACUGCGCACCGUCCGCCCUGCCCACCGCCUCGGCGGGACGCGCUCGCGCACACGGACGCACAGAGGUCGACCAGGGUGUUCUCCAGCGAGGAGGCAACACAGCCGCGGGAGGCGGGGCGGGGCGUGUUUAAAGUGACAGACUGGGCUUUGGUUACGUCGGGCUUCUGGACGAGGGGAAACCGGAGUCGGGGAGGCUCCAGCGAGAGCCCCGCGGACCGACGGGGACCGGAUCUCUACGGGUGGGGUCUGUGCAGUAGUGACCCCUCCGAGUGAAGGCAGAGCUCGGCGGUCCUCAGGCCCACCCCGCCUCCCAGCGGGGAGCACCGAGGGCGAGGACCGACUUCUUCUGGGGAUCCUCGA
This 1264-nucleotide long non-coding RNA is filed under the name Homo sapiens (human). Its description in RNAcentral is "HSALNT0355496". Lineage: Eukaryota; Metazoa; Chordata; Mammalia; Primates; Hominidae. The record is from RNAcentral.